RNAcentral lists this long non-coding RNA (1866 nucleotides) under Gossypium raimondii (Peruvian cotton). RNAcentral describes it as "long non-coding RNA (GRAI_LNC004884)". The record is from RNAcentral. Lineage: Eukaryota; Viridiplantae; Streptophyta; Magnoliopsida; Malvales; Malvaceae.
UGAGGACCAAAUCCAGAAAAACAAAUGGAAUUUUUUGGCAAAAUUGAAAAAUAAAAACAAAAUAGGAUCCAAUCGUAAACAUCCUCAAAACCGUAAGGACCAGGGGCGCAAAUAACCCCUUUUAUCCAGAAACACGUCAAAAUGACGUCGUUUUGAGGCUUUCUGAACUCCUCCAAAACGGCGCCGUUUUAAUAUCCUAUAUAUUCAAAAAAUUAUCCAAAAAAUUUCAUUUCCCCCCUUUCCAAAAAAAAAAAUCCGGAAAUGCUCUCUCCUCCCCCCUUUCUUCUCCCCAGAAUCCGGCCAACGGUCCGGCCAAGAGCCACCGUACCGGCCGCCGGUCGCCGGCUCCGGCGCACCGUGCACGGCGGCGGGGAGACCAAAAGUCUCCCCCUUUUCUCCGACGCAACCCUCUGAUUCCGAGCACUCCAACGACGACGAAAAACGGUAAAAAUUUCCUUUUUUAUUCUUUUAUUUCGAAUAUAAAUAAUAAAAUAGCAAAAAAAGAACAAAAAGAAAAAAAGAAGGCGACCACCUUAAGACACGAUUUCGGUUCUUUUAUUUCUCAAAAUGUUGUUUUUUUUCUUUUGCUUUUGAUUCACUAGUGUCCCCCCUACAAUGGUUUGCAAUCGGUUUCUUUAUACCGAAAAAAAAAAUGAAAUCCCCCCCUUUUACAAUCUGUUUAAAAAUGGCUUUAUAGCCGAAUAUACAAGCUUUAUUUUUUAAUAUUCUUGUCACUUCAGGUGCAGGCACAAGUGGGCAGGGCAGGUGAGCGGCGGAGUAGGUGGCGGCAGGUAGCAGAAGAGCAGGGGUUUGAAUAAUUGUUUUAGGCCUGAUUUGGAUUUAGGUAAUUGGGCUUAUUGCUUUCUGAUUUGGGCUGUGGCGUAUUGGGCUAGGCUAGUUGGGUCUGGGUCUGUUUUAGGUUAGGUCUGGGUUAUUUGGGCUUGGGCAAAAUUGGGCUGUACAGUGUUUCUAAGAGCAAGGAGGUAGCUCACAGCCCAACAGUCACAAAAUCGCGCUAAGACUGCAAGGUCUUUUCCUAUUGCUACUGUUAGCAGGACCAUCGCGAUGCCCAACCUUCUCACUCAUCUGCCCCUGUUAUUACCCUUACUACUACCAUGUUAUGUUACCUCCUGCAUUAUUAGGAAGACAUAUUCAACCAGGAAAUAGUUUUCUUGGUGCACAAAAAGGCCAACGGUUUAGAGAUCAAACUUAUUUCAGGUAUUGUGACUUUGUUCUAGAACCAAAUAUCCUCUUUGUGUGCAGAAGGUUGUUGUAAACACUGAGGUUUAAGAAUUGUUUUUUUUAAACGAAAAUAAAACACAAAAAACACAUUUUCUCUAACCAAACUGAUCUUUAGUAUUCAAUGAAUUCAAGCUAAAAUUUAUUUUUAUCUUUACAAUCAAUACAUCCAAAUAAUUACCAUCAUAAUUGAUCACAAAAACCAUAAUAAAUUUGAAAAUAGCUCACAUAUAUUAAAACUAAGAAACAGUUCUUACGUAUGCUUCUAACCACUAAGCCAUUAAUUAUUUUUCUUUACAAUAUAACCAAGUGAGGAUUUUUUUUUAAUUUUAAAAUAUCAAAUUUAAUAGAAAAAUUAUAAUGAUGUUAAUAAUUGGACUUGAAAUUUUAACUCUACCUCCUAAGGUGAAGGAUUUCACGUGGAGGUGCAUGAGAAAAUCUAUUCCAUGCAAGGCUUGCUUAUUGCUAAGGGAGUUGUUUUGAAUCCGAGCUGCAACAGGUGUGGGGAGGAGGAAAGUCUCAAACAUGUUUUCCGUGAUUGCGCUACGGUUUGUGAGGUGUAGGAUCGUGCCAGCUUCGGAUGUUGCAUGGAUCGAUGCCUAGCCUAAUUGAAACGGCACUGCUGAG